UUCAAGACUAGAGUCUCAUCCUGACAUCCCCAGUUGUCUUGGUGUGCUAGGGAUCUCGCAGACUGAAUGCCAGCCUUAUUCUCUGACCAGCUUUAACUCAGCUGGGUCAGACACUUGCUUGGCAACAGUU
Small nucleolar RNA from Scleropages formosus (Asian bonytongue), 130 nucleotides. Ensembl annotates it as small nucleolar RNA SNORA3/SNORA45 family. The record is from Ensembl. NCBI's taxonomy places the organism in Eukaryota, Metazoa, Chordata, Actinopteri, Osteoglossiformes, Osteoglossidae.